Molecule: ribosomal RNA, 493 nt
Filed under: uncultured bacterium
Lineage: Bacteria
Description: partial 16S ribosomal RNA
Rfam family: Bacterial small subunit ribosomal RNA
Source: RNAcentral
GACGAACGCUGGCGGCGUGCUUAACACAUGCAAGUCGAACGGUGAAGCGCCUUCCUUUUUGGUGGGUGUGGAUGAGUGGCGAACGGGUGAGUAACACGUGAGUAACCUGCCCCCUUCUUCUGGAUAACCGCAUGAAAGUGUGGCUAAUACGGGAUAUUCUGGGUCUGUCGCAUGAUGGGUCUGGGAAAGAUAUUGUUUCGGUGGGGGAUGGGCUCGCGGCCUAUCAGCUUGUUGGUGGGGUGAUGGCCUACCAAGGCGGUGACGGGUAGCCGGCCUGAGAGGGUGGACGGUCACACUGGGACUGAGACACGGCCCAGACUCCUACGGGAGGCAGCAGUGGGGAAUACUGCACAAUGGGCGCAAGCCUGAUGCAGCGACGCCGCGUGAGGGAUGGAGGCCUUCGGGUUGUGAACCUCUUUCGCCAGUGAAGCAGGCCUGCCUCGUUUGUGGGUGGGUUGACGGUAGCUGGAUAAGAAGCGCCGGCUAACUACGU